CUGGUUGAUCCUGCCAGUAGUUAUAUGCUUGUCUCAAAGAUUAAGCCAUGCAUGUCUCAGCAUAUGUCUGUGUACGAUUCAGCUGCGAAUGGCUCACUAGAGCAGACAUUAUUCAUGUGGUUGCAUUGAUACAUGGAUACCUGUGGAAAAUCUAGGGCUAAUACAUGCAUUCAGAUCCGACUUCAAGGUAGGAUUGCAUUCAGUAGUGUUCAGAACCAUUUCCAGGCUAUGCCUGCACACUCACGAUGACUCAUAAUGACUUUUCUAAUCGCAUGGUAGACACCAGUGAUAUGUCAUUCAAGUUUCUGACCUAUCAGCUUCCGAUGGUAUGGUAUUGGCAUACCAUGGCGAUGACGGGUGACGGAGAAUUAGGGUUCGAUUCCGGAGAGGGAGCCUGCGAAAUGGCUACCACAUCUAAGGAAGGCAGCAGGCGCGCAAAUUACCCAAUUCUGAAACUGGGAGGUAGUGACAAGAAGUAACGAUAUCGGGCAUAAUUGUCUUGUAAUUGCAAUGAAUCGAUCCCAAAUUCCUCGAUGAUUACCAAUUGGAGGGCAAGUCUGGU
This 562-nucleotide ribosomal RNA is filed under the name uncultured eukaryote. Its description in RNAcentral is "bacterial SSU rRNA". It matches the Rfam family "Eukaryotic small subunit ribosomal RNA", at positions 4 to 565 of the family's 1831-position model. The record is from RNAcentral.